Lonchura striata (white-rumped munia) is the source of this 460-nucleotide long non-coding RNA. RefSeq lists it as uncharacterized. NCBI's taxonomy places the organism in Eukaryota, Metazoa, Chordata, Aves, Passeriformes, Estrildidae. The record is from RefSeq and is a predicted model, not a curated record.
GAGCCAGAAGAACCAUGUGUGGCCAGAAAUAGGAAGUGAUCCUGGGCCUCUGUCCCCUCAUCCAACUCCUUCUGUGCCGCCAUGGCCUGUUGGGUGCUGCCUGUGGAGCACAGGACUGCAAUGUCAGACGUGGAUACAGCACAGCUCUGGUAAUUAAGAAUGGCAUUCCUGCUAGAGCUCUUGUAACUGAGAAGUACUUCAGAGGAGCUAAAAAUCAGACCGAAGCUGUUCCGUUGUUUUUCUUCUUAUGUUGGUGCUGAAAAUCUGGCAAGUCAUUAAAGUAAAUAUUUUCUCAGACUGGAAUAAAUUCACACUGGAUUCAUGUGAAACAAUCUCAUCCAUAAAGAAAUGCUAAUGGCUGAAGAUCAAAAGAGCAAAAGGUUCACCCUGGGACACGCUGGAGCUGAGAGAAGACCCUGCAUCCUCUCACAGGAGUAUCAGCAAUUUACUGACUUUUGGU